This 1905-nucleotide ribosomal RNA is filed under the name Triticum aestivum (bread wheat). Its description in RNAcentral is "partial small subunit ribosomal RNA". The record is from RNAcentral. Lineage: Eukaryota; Viridiplantae; Streptophyta; Magnoliopsida; Poales; Poaceae.
AUGCUCCGCACCACCGCCGCGAUGCUCCCGUCCCCCGCCUCCCUCCGCGCGCUCCUGCGCCUCUCCCGCCGCGCCCCUUUCCCCCGCCUCCGCCAGCUCCCAAGCCCCCCGCUCCUCCCCCGCCUCCGCCCCCUCUCCUCCUCGCCCAACCCCGCCCGCGACCCCCUCGCCCCGCCGGAGCCGCUCUCCUCGGCCUUCGCCGCCGCCGCCUCCAACCCCGAAGCCCCCGCCGACUCCGACCCCGACUCCUCCUGGGGCGUCUUCGACCCCGUCGCCGGCCGCAUCGUCAUGCAGACGCACCCUCCCCCUCCCACUUCCAGCUCCGACCGAGAGGAGGAGGAGGAGGAGGAGGAGGAGGUGGUGGAGGUGAAGCCGAAGGCGAGGCCGAGCGGCGGGAAGCGCGAGCCCAGGUGGGCGGAUGUGGCCACCGCGAGGAGGGCGGCGGGGAAGGGCGGCAAGGCGCCGAGGGUCUCGUACGUCUGCAGCAACUGCGGGGACGGCUUCUCGCAGUGGUGGGGCACCUGCCGCGGCUGCCAGGCCGUGGGGACCCUCACCAAGUUCUUCCCGGGGGCCGACUCCGCCGACGCCGACGCCGACGCCGAGGGGUCGCACCACGCCGGCCGCUCGUGGAUUCGGCAGAAGAGCAAGGAGAUGGUGCCCAAGAAGCUCCGGGAAGUCACCAAGGGGUUUGACCAGGCGGGCUGGCGCAUACCGCUGCCAGGGACCUUUGGAAAUGAAAUUUCUCGGGUGCUUGGAGGUGGCGUCGUUCCUGGCUCCUUGGUUUUAGUAGGUGGGGAUCCAGGUGUUGGCAAAAGUACAUUGAUGCUACAGCUUGCUUCUAUUGUAUCUGAAGGUUCCGAGGACCAUGGGUCUUCUCCUGUUGUGUAUGUGUCCGGUGAGGAGAGCAUUGAGCAAAUUGCAAAUAGGGCUGACCGGAUGAGUAUCAAGUCUAAAGAUUUGUAUCUAUACUCUAGUACAGAUAUUGAGGAUAUCUUGGACAAAAUCCAGCCACUAUCUCCAAAAGCUCUUGUUGUUGAUUCAAUUCAGACAGUUUAUCUAUCAGCAUUUGCUGGAAGUGCUGGGAAUCAAGUGCAGGUCAAGGAAUGCACAUCUGCCUUGUUAAGUUUUGCUAAAAUGACAAAUAUCCCUGUUUUCCUGAUUGGACACGUCACAAAAACUGGUGAUAUUGCUGGCCCUCGUGUUCUAGAGCACAUAGUAGAUGUUGUUUUGUAUAUGGAGGGAGAGAGAUGCUUAUCUCAUCGACUGUUACGGUCAGCGAAGAAUCGUUUCGGUUCAACAGACGAGCUUGGUGUAUUUGAAAUGUCAGAACACGGUCUGCAAGCUGUUCUGAAUCCCAGUGAGAUGUUCUUAACUGAGCAUGACUCUGAUUCUGAGAUACUGGCUGGGCUUGCUGUAGCUGUUGUUUUGGAUGGAUCCAGAACCUUCGCUAUUGAAGUUCAGGCACUGUCUGUUCCUGGUUCUCUUGGUCAAGGAAAAGUCGUUGGCACAAAGUCAAAAAGGGUUGAGAUGAUAAUAUCAGUUCUUAUGAAGCAGGCAGGUCUAAAACUUCAGGAUAAUGUUAUUUAUCUGAAUGUGGUCAGUGGGUUCGAGCUGUCGGAGACUGCAGGAGAUCUGGCCAUAGCAGCUUCGAUUUGCAGCAGUUUCUUGGAGUUUCCUAUCCCAAAUGAUAUUGCAUUUAUUGGAGAGAUUGGCCUUGGUGGUGAACUUAGAACUGUGCCAAGAAUGGAUAAGCGGGUGAUGGCUAUCGCGAAGUUGGGCUACAGGAAAUGCGUCGUCCCCAAGACUUCAGAGAAGCUGCUCAAACCUCUCGAUCUCGAUAUCCAGAUCUUGCCCUGCAACAACCUGAAGGAGUUCAUAAACACAGUGUUCAGGCCAGAAGUAUGA